CUAAUGACUUAUCAUUAUGUCCACAGAUCAACGCAUCUACCAACUCUCCUCUGAGAAGCGUCUGUUUACGUGGUUGGUGACAAACGCAGAGACCUAUCAUGAGCCACAGUGAAGAGAGCAAAGAGACUCCCAAAUCCUCAGCACUAGAAGACCCAGAGAUCACUGCAGAAGAAAGAGCAGGAAGAAUAUAAAAGCCAGAGCCAGCACUGGGGAACUGGAAGCAGAAGAAGAAGGAAUUCAAGGCUGCACCUGAAUCCGAGGGCAUGCAACACCACAUGAGACAUCGUCUUUAAAAAACAAUCACUAGGACGGCUCAACAGAAGAAUCAAGGAAUCUGGGCUAGAGAGAGGGUUCGGGGAGUGAAGGACUCGCUGAGCAAACAUGAGGACCGUGUCAGAUCGCCAUCACCCAUGGAAAACACGCAUCUGUCACCCCAGCACUGGGAGAGUGGAGACAGGAGGGUCCCAGGGACUCAGCCAGUCUACAGGAAACAUUGAAGUCCGGGCACAGCGCGAGACCCAUCUCACAAAGCAGCAGAGGAAAGUGACAGAGGAAGCCACCUGCCCUCAGCCUCUGGCCCUCACAGUCAU
Long non-coding RNA from Myodes glareolus (Bank vole), 590 nucleotides. RefSeq lists it as uncharacterized. NCBI's taxonomy places the organism in Eukaryota, Metazoa, Chordata, Mammalia, Rodentia, Cricetidae. The record is from RefSeq and is a predicted model, not a curated record.